CCUACGGGAGGCAGCAGUGAGGAAUAUUGGUCAAUGGACGAGAGUCUGAACCAGCCAAGUAGCGUGAAGGAUGACUGCCCUAUGGGUUGUAAACUUCUUUUAUAUGGGAAUAAAACGUUCCACGUGUGGGAUUUUGUAUGUACCAUAUGAAUAAGGAUCGGCUAACUCCGUGCCAGCAGCCGCGGUAAUACGGAGGAUCCGAGCGUUAUCCGGAUUUAUUGGGUUUAAAGGGAGCGUAGGUGGAUUGUUAAGUCAGUUGUGAAAGUUUUCGGCUCAACCGUAAAAUUGCAGUUGAAACUGGCAGUCUUGAGUCCAGUAGAGGUGGGCGGAAUUCGUGGUGUAGCGGUGAAAUGCUUAGAUAUCACGAAGAACCCCGAUUGCGAAGGCAGUUCACUGCACUGCAACUGACACUGAGGCUCGAAAGUGUGGGUAUCAAACAGGACUAGAUACCCCGGUAGUC
This 460-nucleotide ribosomal RNA is filed under the name uncultured bacterium. RNAcentral's name for it is "partial 16S ribosomal RNA". It matches the Rfam family "Bacterial small subunit ribosomal RNA", at positions 338 to 795 of the family's 1533-position model. The record is from RNAcentral.